AAGAAAUGUUAAAAGUGAUGAAAGGCAAAGAACUACAACCAAGACUGCUCUACCAAGCAAGGCUAUAAUUAAAAUCUAAGGAGAGAUAAAAAGUUUCCCAGACAAGGAAAAGCUAAAAGAGGUCAUCACCACUAAACCAGUACUACAAGAAAUGUUGAAGAGACUUCUUUAUGAAGAAAACAUUAAAAAUAUAAAUAAUAUAUAGGAAAGCAAAAAAUGCUCAUUUGACAAAGGCAAAAAGUAAAAACACUAGAUCAACCAACUAUAAAGCUAGUACAAAGCUUAAAAGACAAAGUAGGAAGAUGAUGUGUAAUUACAACAAUAAAUUAAGGGAUACCACAUACACAGACAAAAAUGUAAACAAUAAAGAUAAAACCAUAAAUGUGGAAAGGGUGAUUAAAAACUGUAGUGUUUUUAGAAUGUGUUCAAACCUAAGCAACCAUCAACUUAAAAUUGACUAUUAGAAAUACAGUUUAGUAUAUAUGAAGCACAAUAUGUAAAAAACCAAAAACCUAUAGGAGAUACACAAGAAAUAAAGAGAAUGGAAUCCAAAUAUAACAACACAGAAAAUCAUCAACAUACAAAAGAAAGGAAGAGAAUAAGGAACAGAAAAGAACUACAAAAUUAAUCAGAAACAAUUAGUAAAAUGGCAGUACAAACUGAUCAAUAACUACUUUAAAAGUAAAUGAACUAAAUUCUUCAAUCAAAAGACAAGUCAUGGCUAAGUUAA
Molecule: long non-coding RNA, 730 nt
Organism: Phyllostomus discolor (pale spear-nosed bat)
Lineage: Eukaryota; Metazoa; Chordata; Mammalia; Chiroptera; Phyllostomidae
Exons: 2
Source: RefSeq, a predicted model, not a curated record